GAUGAACGCUGGCGGCGUGCCUAAUACAUGCAAGUCGAGCGAACGGACGAGAAGCUUGCUUCUCUGAUGUUAGCGGCGGACGGGGGAGUAACACGUGGAUAACCUACCUAUAAGACUGGGAUAACUUCGUGAAACCGGAGCUAAUACCGGAUGAUAUUUUGAACCGCAUGGUUCAAAAGUGAAAGACGGUCUUGCUGUCACUUAUAGAUGGAUCCGCGCUGCAUUAGCUAGUUGGUAAGGUAACGGCUUACCAAGGCAACGAUGCAUAGCCGACCUGAGAGGGUGAUCGGCCACACUGGAACUGAGAAACGGUCCAGACUCCUACGGGAGGCAGCAGUAGGGAAUCUUCCGCAAUGGGCGAAAGCCUGACGGAGCAACGCCGCGUGAGUGAUGAAGGUCUUCGGAUCGUAAAACUCUGUUAUUAGGGAAGAACAUAUGUGUAAGUAACUGUGCACAUCUUGACGGUACCUAAUCAGAAAGCCACGGCUAACUACGUG
This 497-nucleotide ribosomal RNA is filed under the name uncultured bacterium. RNAcentral's name for it is "partial 16S ribosomal RNA". It matches the Rfam family "Bacterial small subunit ribosomal RNA", at positions 28 to 507 of the family's 1533-position model. The record is from RNAcentral.